Molecule: long non-coding RNA, 636 nt
Organism: Microtus ochrogaster (prairie vole)
Lineage: Eukaryota; Metazoa; Chordata; Mammalia; Rodentia; Cricetidae
Exons: 3
Source: RefSeq, a predicted model, not a curated record
CGGUCGAUGGAGAUGAUGCAGAGGCCCAUGAUGGACGCUGUGCAACACAGGACGUCCACCGCUGCCCAGAUGUUGCAGAAGACCCUGCCAAAGGCCCAGUAGCCCAGGAUCUCAAAGAUGGCCGAGAAGGGCAGCACUGUGGAGAUUGUUUUGCAAACUCCCAUCUGGUAGGUACCAGGGACAACAGGAGCAGGACACCUGUUUGCUGGCAAGUGGCAAAUGUUCUCGUAGGUUGACAUCUUCAGUGGGGAGACUCGCCUGGAAUGUUUUCAUUGCAAUGCUGAAGGUGCAAGGCUGGACUAUAUCCGACUGGGUUAUAAACACCAUUGAACUCCUCUUCCUCAGAGGCACAAUGCUGGGCUGCAUCCAACUGGUUUAUAAACACUACAGAGUGCUGUCUCCAGUAACCUUGCUCUAAGUAACAUGCAAACAGAACAGAACCGACAUCUUUGGCUCAGACAACGAUGACUCAAAGCAACAAGCUCCUGUCCCCAGGCUCCAGAGUUACAAUUGGUCAGAGAGCCAGACGGGGCUGCAGAGGGUCAUGACUGGUAAAUGCACAUGGAGACAGAAAGAAAAUGUUUCCCUUGCAGAAUGGGGAGGAAUUUAAUGGGAGCAUUAAACCCGCAAUAUCAU